RNAcentral lists this ribosomal RNA (379 nucleotides) under uncultured bacterium. RNAcentral describes it as "bacterial SSU rRNA". It matches the Rfam family "Bacterial small subunit ribosomal RNA", at positions 114 to 507 of the family's 1533-position model. The record is from RNAcentral.
CACGUGGGUGAUCUGCCCUGCACUUUGGGAUAAGCCUGGAAACUGGGUCUAAUACCGAAUAUGACCAUGGACUUCACGGUUUGUGGUGGAAAGCUUUUUGCGGUGUGGGAUGGGCCCGCGGCCUAUCAGCUUGUUGGUGGGGUAAUGGCCUACCAAGGCGACGACGGGUAGCCGGCCUGAGAGGGUGACCGGCCACACUGGGACUGAGAUACGGCCCAGACUCCUACGGGAGGCAGCAGUGGGGAAUAUUGCACAAUGGGCGCAAGCCUGAUGCAGCGACGCCGCGUGGGGGAUGACGGCCUUCGGGUUGUAAACCUCUUUCACCAGGGACGAAGCGAGAGUGACGGUACCUGGAGAAGAAGGACCGGCCAACUACGUG